RNAcentral lists this ribosomal RNA (471 nucleotides) under uncultured bacterium. RNAcentral's name for it is "bacterial SSU rRNA". It matches the Rfam family "Bacterial small subunit ribosomal RNA", at positions 331 to 794 of the family's 1533-position model. The record is from RNAcentral.
CCAGACUCCUACGGGAGGCAGCAGUGGGGAAUAUUGCACAAUGGGCGCAAGCCUGAUGCAGCCAUGCCGCGUGUAUGAAGAAGGCCUUCGGGUUGUAAAGUACUUUCAGUCGGGAGGAAGGUGGUAAGGUUAAUAACCUUAUCAAUUGACGUUACCGGCAGAAGAAGCACCGGCUAACUCCGUGCCAGCAGCCGCGGUAAUACGGAGGGCGCAAGCGUUAAUCGGAAUUACUGGGCGUAAAGCGCACGCAGGCGGCCUGUCAAGUCGGAUGUGAAAUCCCCGGGCUCAACCUGGGAACUGCAUUCGAAACUGGCAGGCUGGAGUCUUGUAGAGGGGGGUAGAAUUCCAGGUGUAGCGGUGAAAUGCGUAGAGAUCUGGAGGAAUACCGGUGGCGAAGGCGGCCCCCUGGACAAAGACUGACGCUCAGGUGCGAAAGCGUGGGGAGCAAACAGGAUUAGAUACCCCCGUAGA